GGCAGGCUUGGGAUAUUUAGUUUCCACAGUGAAACUUCAUCCGAUCUCACCUAUAUGGUUGCACGGAACAAAGGUGAGAGUCCCAGCCAGUGGGUGAUGGAGAAAACAAUUUCACUAGAUUCAGGGUACAAAUAUUUUAUCAGAGAUGCAACACAGAGGUACUUGCUCUUGACAAGGAUAGAAGCCUCAUCUCUGGAGAAUCCACUUGUUGAAUGUUUCUCAAUGGAUGUCAAGGCGUUGCAACUUCAGAGGAUUUAUGACAAACCGCAAUAUCUUAAGUAUGAGACAUACACAUAUAUCAACUUCCCACCAUCAUUAUUGUCUUCAAGGAGAAUAUGA
This 339-nucleotide ribosomal RNA is filed under the name Triticum aestivum (bread wheat). Its description in RNAcentral is "partial small subunit ribosomal RNA". The record is from RNAcentral. Lineage: Eukaryota; Viridiplantae; Streptophyta; Magnoliopsida; Poales; Poaceae.